This is a non-coding RNA of Mycena epipterygia, 92 nucleotides long. Lineage: Eukaryota; Fungi; Basidiomycota; Agaricomycetes; Agaricales; Mycenaceae. The record is from the annotation of a GenBank genome assembly.
GGCCCGGUAGCGGAUGGUCCGCACUUGCUCUUCAUUGAGAAGAUGUUUGUUGAAAUCUGCAAGAGUCGCUCGUUCGACUGGAGUCCGGGCCA